AUACUUACCUGGACGGGGUCAAUGGGCGAUCAAGAAGGCCCAUGGCCUAGACUGGUGAUUUCUAUUGCACUUUGAAGGGAUGCUAGCCUAAGGUCGGUCCAAGUGGUCGAGUCAUGAUUUGUGAGUAUUAAUGCUGAACUUUAG
RNAcentral lists this small nuclear RNA (144 nucleotides) under Nicotiana attenuata. RNAcentral describes it as "snRNA U1". It matches the Rfam family "U1 spliceosomal RNA". Rfam says of the family: U1 is a small nuclear RNA (snRNA) component of the spliceosome (involved in pre-mRNA splicing). Its 5' end forms complementary base pairs with the 5' splice junction, thus defining the 5' donor site of an intron. The record is from Rfam by way of RNAcentral. Lineage: Eukaryota; Viridiplantae; Streptophyta; Magnoliopsida; Solanales; Solanaceae.